RNAcentral lists this long non-coding RNA (211 nucleotides) under Phoenix dactylifera (date palm). RNAcentral's name for it is "long non-coding RNA (PDAC_LNC007420)". Lineage: Eukaryota; Viridiplantae; Streptophyta; Magnoliopsida; Arecales; Arecaceae. The record is from RNAcentral.
UAGUCCUCGUCCUCCGAGACGUCGCGAGAUGAAACCUCACUUAAAUUCACGCGGAAUGAAACCUCACUUAAAUUCACGCGGAUUUCCGAGAUCGGCGGCAGCGCCACCCCCUUCCUUUCUCUCUCCUACAUUUGUCAUCCACUUCAUACCCCCGUCUCCCUGCCGGCAUUCUCUCUUCCAGAUAAAAGAAUACAAAAAAUAUCCUAUCCCC